CUACGGGUCGCACCAGUGAGGAAUAUUGCACAAUGGGGGAAACCCUGAUGCAGCAACGCCGCGUGGAGGAUGACGCAUUUCGGUGUGUAAACUCCUUUUAUCAGAGAAGAAAAUGACGGUAUCUGAUGAAUAAGCUCCGGCUAACUCCGUGCCAGCAGCCGCGGUAAUACGGAGGGAGCAAGCGUUAUUCGGAAUCACUGGGCGUAAAGAACGCGUAGGCGGGUUUUUAAGUCAGGUGUGAAAUCCUAUGGCUCAACCAUAGAACUGCACUUGAAACUGGGGACCUAGAGUAUGGAAGGGGCAGGUGGAAUUAGUGGUGUAGGGGUAAAAUCCGUAGAUAUCACUAGGAAUACCGAAAGCGAAGGCGACCUGCUGGGACAUUACUGACGCUGAGGCGUGAAAGCGUGGGGAGCAAACAGGAUUAGAUACCCGCGUAGUC
This 439-nucleotide ribosomal RNA is filed under the name uncultured bacterium. RNAcentral describes it as "partial 16S ribosomal RNA". It matches the Rfam family "Bacterial small subunit ribosomal RNA", at positions 339 to 795 of the family's 1533-position model. The record is from RNAcentral.